GUUUUUGUAUGGGGCUGUAGCACAGUGAUCGGCUUUUCGGUAAUGCCAUCACUCUCGACGUUAAAUUUGGAGAUGAUACUCCUCAUGUCGCCCCCACCCUGUCUAUCCUCCGCCCGAUGUUGGGCGAUAUGGAGGGCCCGCAGGUCUGCCUGGCAACCGGAUUCUACCCGGAUAUAUCGAACAGAGUGCUCCUUAACCCGCUUAAGGAUAUCACCAAUCAACUUUUGAUAUCCCCCAGGAGCAAAUCAUACACCUAUGCUACAUUUUCCAAAGGAAGUAUCAUCAGUAGUUGUUCAGUGGAAGGUGCAGAUAAUGAGGCAGUUCCGACAAAUGCCAACCCAACAACUGCCUACCUAACAACUAGGUCUACCCCAGUAACCGUCAACACAUCAUCAGCCCACAAAUUAGAAAAUCACACCGAAGUCUUCAACGCAGAACCCUCCGACAAUAACAGGCUGAGCUCGUACUACCUGCUGAUAAACGGCCUGCGACACAUCCUGACCAAAACCCUUGUUCUCAACGUGCUGGUGGUCCUCCGAGGUCUGCUGGCCUAGAAGACCACCGCAGGGCACACAUGGACACAUUGGUUGGAAAUAUACUCCAUCAUGCCGUAAUCAUGAUCAGGACCUGAAUCUGAUUCUUUAAAGAGGUCAGGAUGUGGAUUAAGGAUGGAUAGGCAUAUUGUUGUGGUGUAUAGUAGGCCUAAGUAAAUUGUAAUUGACAAUUGAGAAUUUGAAGAGAAAGGAUUAGGAUAUAGUAAAAAUCACAUUAAGGCUUCAUUGUGGUGAUGUUUAUUUUUUCACUUUCGUUUUAUUGUCUGUACAGUCUGUAUGUAUUCCUUUCUUAUUUGUAAAGCGUCUUUGAGCAUUUAGAAAAGCACUGUAAAAAAAAGAUCAAUUAUUAUUAUUAUUAUUGUUAAACUCAAGCAGCCAGCACCUGUUCAAUCUAUCGCUGGGACCGGUUGAAGCUUGAUGGUAUCAGAUAGAUGUGGACAGCUGGGGAAUGAGAAGAAGAGAAAUUUGAAGCAUGAGGUAUAAUAUGUAAUGAAUAAUAACAAUUUAUAGUCUACUGAUUGGACAAACCCCUAUCAUUUAAAUUAAUAUGGUGCACAAACAACUUUGGCCCUUGGGCCAAAAAUAAAACAAAGUUGUUACACAUGUAUUUCUGGGGUCUUCUGGAGGCUUAAGAAGGCUGCUUGUCUGUCUUCUCUUGUUAUCUUGGUGUCAGUCGUGGUGCUUGUUAUUAGUGAGGAAAACCACAUUUUUACUGAAACUUGAAACCAUGGCAACAGAGGAAAUCCUCCAUGCUGAUUACGAUCUAAUAUUCUCUGACAGUUUGUUGAGUAUCGGAAUAUCUGCCCGCAAAGCUUUAAAACGAGGCUGUCAUUGACAAGCACGAUGCUCAUAAGUCACUUAUGUAUAGAGUUUUAUAGGUUUUUUUUUUGUCAUUAUGUGUAACAUCCACAACCUGGAGAAAUCGAUCAUGUACUGCUGAAUUGGACGUCUUGUUUUUUGGUUUUUCACUUGCAAAAUAUAAAUAAAAAAAGGUUUUCACAGCCCACACCAGCCAACAUAGUCCUAUGUCUUUUCACGCAAUUCACAGGAAAAGAGCAGCGAUUUGGAUUGAACCCGGGUCCUGAUUUGACAGAAGGCCUAUUGCCGUUUCUCUGUAAUAGUGUGUUUCUGCAGGCGAAGUGGUGUCUACAGCUUAGAUGAGCAUUUUUUGUUAUUGACGCUUGGACGUCAUCGAUGGAGCUAUCGACACAAAACUUGUGACACUUGAGUUAGGGGAGAUUUCAUCUAUGUGCACGAUAAAUAACCUGAUCCUGGCUCAAGUGAACUUGUGAUUCCUAGAAUUGAGUUGACCUUAUUAUUUUAUGGAAACUAUAAUAACUUCUACGCAUUUUUGAGUCAGACACGUUCUUAGAACAUGCAUCACAUCAAGUGUUAUUUGCACCUGUGGCAAUUUAGAAGAUUUUUUCAAGUGUUCAAAAUUUCACUGUACAGAGAAAUCUAUCCAGAUGGACAGUAUUGGUCAAAGAGGCAAACCUUUACAGCAUGUAAAAUAAGGCCUGUAACAAGUAGCAACAGAUAGCCUACUCUUAGAAUCCUAUCUAAUAGGAUGCUACAAUAAUACUUCCGUUGUAAUCUGGUGUGACGCUGCCCCCUGCUGGAUACAGGUAGAGUUGUCUUUCUGUCAAUAUUUUCCUAAACAGCGAUGGAAGUGAGUAAACCCAGCCCCUUUCGGGUGCAAUCUUUACGGUAACUAAAAAAAGGAAAAAAAAGACCAUUGGUUGGCGAUUGGACCACAUAUUUAGAGAGUGGCAUUUGUUUAAACCAUUUUUUUGGUUUGGUUUGUAGAAGUUUGGAUUGAACCCGGGUUCAACAAGUGUUUUUACAAAGCAGUUUUUAAUUAUGAGAUGUAAAAGUAUUUCCCAAUACGCGUGUGUUACUAUAUCGGUAGAUAUGAAUAAAUGUAACGCUGAUAUUCCCAUCACUGGAUUUCAGAGCUUCGAACGGUUCUAACCGAGGCCUGGGAGCGCAUUGUAUGAUUGUUUGACAAGGUUAUACUAUUGAAAAAGUAUAAAGAUAAAGAGAUGUUUAAUGUUGCGUGCGUGCGUGCGUGUGUGUGUGUGUGUGUGUGUGUGUGUGCGUGCGUGCGUGCGUGUGUGUGCGCGUGUUUGUCUUGCUGCUUCCAGGCCCCAGGUCCCAGGUGAGCGUGUGAUGAUGUCACACUCACCAGGAUCCAGGUCAUUGGGUCAUCCUGCGCGACUGUGCCUGAACUACUUUACUUGUGGUUCACUUCCCUUCCUACAGCAUGGAUGUUUAGUUCCAGAGACUCCACUCCACUUUUUUAUUCUUGUUUUAGUACUCAUGGCGUUAACACUACUUCUAC
This 2895-nucleotide long non-coding RNA is filed under the name Gadus morhua (Atlantic cod). RNAcentral's name for it is "lncRNA (ENSGMOG00000025220.1)". The record is from RNAcentral. Lineage: Eukaryota; Metazoa; Chordata; Actinopteri; Gadiformes; Gadidae.